Molecule: ribosomal RNA, 429 nt
Filed under: Bacteroidota bacterium
Lineage: Bacteria; Pseudomonadati; Bacteroidota
Description: Bacteroidetes bacterium partial 16S ribosomal RNA
Rfam family: Bacterial small subunit ribosomal RNA
Source: RNAcentral
UAGGGAAUCUUCCGCAAUGGACGCAAGUCUGACGGAGCAACGCCGCGUGAGUGAAGAAGGAUUUCGGUUCGUAAAACUCUGUUGUUAGAGAAGAACAGCGCAUAGAGUAACUGUUAUGCGUGUGACGGUAUCUAACCAGAAAGCCACGGCUAACUACGUGCCAGCAGCCGCGGUAAUACGUAGGUGGCAAGCGUUGUCCGGAUUUAUUGGGCGUAAAGCGCGCGUAGGCGGUUUUUUAAGUCUGAUGUGAAAGCCCACGGCUCAACCGUGGAGGGUCAUUGGAAACUGGAAAACUUGAGUGCAGAAGAGGAAAGUGGAAUUCCAUGUGUAGCGGUGAAAUGCGCAGAGAUAUGGAGGAACACCAGUGGCGAAGGCGACUUUCUGGUCUGUAACUGACGCUGAUGUGCGAAAGCGUGGGGAUCAAACAGG